CCCACACCCAUGUGUGUAGGACCCGAGAGGAUCACCAUUAAAUUUGGUACAGAUCUCUAGAAAAGUUAUCACAUGGGUGUGAGACUUGACUUUUUUAGAGAUCUGUGCCAAAUUUAAUGGUGAUCCUUUCGGAUCCCUAUACACAUGGGUGUGGG
RNAcentral lists this microRNA precursor (155 nucleotides) under Amborella trichopoda. Its description in RNAcentral is "MIR8565 microRNA precursor family". It matches the Rfam family "MIR8565 microRNA precursor family". Lineage: Eukaryota; Viridiplantae; Streptophyta; Magnoliopsida; Amborellales; Amborellaceae. The record is from Rfam by way of RNAcentral.